RNAcentral lists this transfer RNA (76 nucleotides) under Sphaerodactylus townsendi. RNAcentral's name for it is "tRNA-Ala". The record is from RNAcentral. Lineage: Eukaryota; Metazoa; Chordata; Lepidosauria; Squamata; Sphaerodactylidae.
GGCUGUGGCUACAGAGGUAGAGCAUCUGCUUUGCAUGCAGAAGGUCCCAGGUUCAAUCCCGAGAUAAAGGGAGCUG